This 253-nucleotide ribosomal RNA is filed under the name uncultured bacterium. RNAcentral's name for it is "partial 16S ribosomal RNA". It matches the Rfam family "Bacterial small subunit ribosomal RNA", at positions 524 to 776 of the family's 1533-position model. The record is from RNAcentral.
UACGUAGGGACCAAGCGUUGUCCGGAAUCAUUGGGCGUAAAGAGCGUGUAGGCGGCUUGUCAAGUCCGGUGUGAAAACUCGGGGCUCAACCCCGAGCCUGCACUGGAAACUGGCUUGCUAGAGUCCGGAAGAGGAGACUGGAAUUCCUGGUGUAGCGGUGAAAUGCGCAGAUAUCAGGAAGAACACCCGUGGCGAAGGCGGGUCUCUGGGACGGUACUGACGCUGAGACGCGAAAGCGUGGGGAGCAAACAGG